GCGGUAAUACGUAGGUGGCAAGCGUUAUCCGGAAUUAUUGGGCGUAAAGCGCGCGCAGGCGGUUUCUUAAGUCUGAUGUGAAAGCCCACGGCUCAACCGUGGAGGGUCAUUGGAAACUGGGGAACUUGAGUGCAGAAGAGAAAAGCGGAAUUCCACGUGUAGCGGUGAAAUGCGUAGAGAUGUGGAGGAACACCAGUGGCGAAGGCGGCUUUUUGGUCUGUAACUGACGCUGAGGCGCGAAAGCGUGGGGAGCAAACAGGAUU
RNAcentral lists this ribosomal RNA (263 nucleotides) under Priestia flexa. Its description in RNAcentral is "partial 16S ribosomal RNA". It matches the Rfam family "Bacterial small subunit ribosomal RNA", at positions 517 to 779 of the family's 1533-position model. Lineage: Bacteria; Bacillati; Bacillota; Bacilli; Caryophanales; Bacillaceae. The record is from RNAcentral.